Molecule: ribosomal RNA, 496 nt
Filed under: uncultured bacterium
Lineage: Bacteria
Description: partial 16S ribosomal RNA
Rfam family: Bacterial small subunit ribosomal RNA
Source: RNAcentral
GAUGAACGCUGGCGGCGUGCCUAAUACAUGCAAGUCGAGCGAACGGACGAGAAGCUUGCUUCUCUGAUGUUAGCGGCGGACGGGUGAGUAACACGUGGAUAACCUACCUAUAAGACUGGGAUAACUUCGGGAAACCGUAGCUAAUACCGGAUAAUAUUUUGAACCGCAUGGUUCAAAAGUGAAAGACGGUCUUGCUGUCACUUAUAGAUGGAUCCGCGCUGCAUUAGCUAGUUGGUAAGGUAACGGCUUACCAAGGCAACGAUGCAUAGCCGACCUGAGGGGUGAUCGGCCACACUGGAACUGAGACACGGUCCAGACUCCUACGGGAGGCAGCAGUAGGGAAUCUUCCGCAAAGGGCGAAAGCCUGACGGAGCAACGCCGCGUGAGUGAUGAAGGUCUUCGGAUCGUAAAACUCUGUUAUUAGGGAAGAACAUAUGUGUAAGUAACUGUGCACAUCUUGACGGUACCUAAUCAGAAAGCCACGGCUAACUACGUG